RNAcentral lists this long non-coding RNA (655 nucleotides) under Mus musculus (house mouse). RNAcentral's name for it is "predicted gene, 34006". Lineage: Eukaryota; Metazoa; Chordata; Mammalia; Rodentia; Muridae. The record is from RNAcentral.
GGAAACUUUCUGAAAGAUGGCGGCUGAGGAACUGCAGAGUUGAGAGGUAGCCGUAGGUCUGCAGCACCAGAUUCCUGCGACACUGCAGCAGCCAGGGAGAAGAGAAGAAACAACAGAGAGCCCUGCCUCCCCUGGCUUCAGGGUGACACCAGGACUCUGUGGAAUGACUUUUUUUUAGUUUAGUACAAACUCAGGACUGCCCCUGGGUGAAAAAUACCUUUCUUCUCAGAUUAACCCAAGCUGUAACCACCCCACAACGUGAAGAGUGCUGUCUCCUUAGCUGUGGCUGAAGAGCUCCUCGUGGAUGCAGGGAGCUGAUCUAUUCCAAAAGGUUCACCUGACUGAAGUCUCCACCUAGGUCUUUGCAUCUGCUGAUCCACCCGCAAGCUUGCAGGAAUAUAGGGGACACACCGGCUCUCUAGAACUGAAACCGAGUUUUCUCAGAAACACUGAAUUUGCCCAUCAAUAGAAGGAAGUCUGUGUGCUCACACCUGACAGGCACCUGUUCUCAUGAACAUCACUCCUGAAACAGGAAAACGAUUUUACUCUUCCCUGGUGGGAAAGGGAUCUGUCUUCCUCCUCAUCCCAAAUCCAUUCUCAAAUCAAAUCUAAGAAUAUGAAACAGGAGGAAGCUAGAAUUCUGAUCUCUAAGGAG